This is a long non-coding RNA of Cynoglossus semilaevis (tongue sole), 422 nucleotides long. RefSeq lists it as uncharacterized. The transcript has 3 exons. The record is from RefSeq and is a predicted model, not a curated record. NCBI's taxonomy places the organism in Eukaryota, Metazoa, Chordata, Actinopteri, Pleuronectiformes, Cynoglossidae.
UCUAACAGGGUCAUUGUGGCAUUGUUUAAUAAACACUUUUUAUUACUUUAACUUCUGAUCUUCUUUGUCUCCACAGAUAUUUUGCACUAGGGCUGCUCUAUCAUUACAAUGGCCAGGACGCAGCAGCGCUUAAGUUGUGGAUCAGUGUGGCAGAUGGAGAUCUGCAGGACUCCACCAGGUCGGACCUGCACGAGUACAUAGUUAACUUUCUCUCCUCCUGCUCCAGCCUGGACCUUAUAUGGAAGUAUGCAGAAUGGGCCUUGCAGAAAGAUCCCACUACAGGCAUUCACAUUUUUACCAAGAGGCCCGUCAGCAAGGAUCAGCCAGAGUUAAAUCCAGAUGAUGUCCUUAACUACCUAAGAAAACACAACCAAGCACUACUGCUUUACCUGGAACAUCUGGUGUUGGAGAGAAAGAUAAAG